This 511-nucleotide antisense RNA is filed under the name Kibdelosporangium phytohabitans. RNAcentral describes it as "Kibdelosporangium sp. KLBMP 1111 Saccharopolyspora sRNA 350". It matches the Rfam family "Saccharopolyspora sRNA 350". Lineage: Bacteria; Bacillati; Actinomycetota; Actinomycetes; Pseudonocardiales; Pseudonocardiaceae. The record is from Rfam by way of RNAcentral.
UUGACCGUGAAGCUCCACUCGUCGCGGUGCCCGGUCAGCGCCUGCUCGCCGAAGUACUCGCCGUCGCCGAGGGUGUCGAGCACGGUUUCCGUGCCGUACUCGCCGAGACCGAUCUUGCUGGCCUUGCCGUGUGCCAUCAGCACGAGCCGGUCGGCGGCCUGUCCUUUCUGGAUGAUCAGGUCACCUGCCUCGAACUCCUGUUGUUCGAACCGUUCGGCGAUCGCGGCCAGCGCAUCGUCGUCCUCGAAGGAGCGCAGCAGCGCCAGUUCCCGCAGCUCCGGCGGGACGACGCUGAUCCGCCCCGCGGCGCUGGUGAAGCUGACCAGUCCGUCGCCGAUGGCGUAGGUCAGUCGCCGGUUCACCCGGUAGGCGCCACCUUCGGCCUGUACCCACGGCAGGACGCGCAACAGCCAGCGCGGCGUGAUCCCCUGCAUCUGCGGUACGGACUUGGUCGUCGUCGCCAGAUUUCGCGCGGCCUGGGUGCCGAGGCUCAUCUGUUGCUGCGACUGGG